RNAcentral lists this transfer RNA (26 nucleotides) under Chlorestes cyanus. RNAcentral describes it as "tRNA-Leu". The record is from RNAcentral. Lineage: Eukaryota; Metazoa; Chordata; Aves; Apodiformes; Trochilidae.
ACUUUUAAAGGAUAACAUCUAAUCCA